This is a long non-coding RNA of Aethina tumida (small hive beetle), 698 nucleotides long. RefSeq lists it as uncharacterized. The record is from RefSeq and is a predicted model, not a curated record. The transcript is spliced from 3 exons. Lineage: Eukaryota; Metazoa; Arthropoda; Insecta; Coleoptera; Nitidulidae.
UUAUUUUAAUUUUAAAGUUAAUCGAUUUGAAACAUAAUUCCAAAAAAGGCUACAAUUUAACAAUACAAUAUCCAUAUUGUUUUAAUCCUUUGAUACUCUUGACAGUGAUAAAAAUAAAAGACUUGUUGAUGAAAGUGUGGUAAAAGUAAUUUACUUGAAUACAGUGAUGAAUAAAUGAACGAAAGAACAGUAAUAAGUGGAAAAACAUAAGGAACCGAAUACAAGUUAGUACACGAACAUACAAGACUUAUUAUUAAAUUUCCCGUACAAACUAGUUGAUAGCAGCGGUGUAAUAAAAUAUUGAGCAAAAAUGGAUUAUUUGUCUUGUUGCACGCCAUGUCUAUAUGAAAAUGCUCCCAAACGAUUUUAGUUCGUGUUUCCAGCUCGCUAAAACAUCGAUACAUUUAAAUGUUUCAAUACACCUUAAUUUAAAUUAUUAUACACGCAAUAUGUUUUCCCUAUGUAUAAAACGUCGAAUUUAUGCUGUACACACACAACUAUUCAUUUUACGCUGCCUUGCACGAUUUGCUUAUUGGAUGAGCGGAAUAUAUUGAUAUUUCGUGUUAUGAAAAUUUAUUCAGUCAAUUUUGCCAGAGAUCACGAACAAUUUCGAAAUCCUUGCCAGGUCAAAGAAAAUUGUUGUCAAACACGUAUAAAAAUACUGAAGUAAUAAAAAUUAUUAUAUAAUGGAACAACUA